GAUGUGGCACGUGCUAGCCAGGAGAUGUUGGCGUAAAAAACUGAAGAGAAGAAAUUCUAUGGGGAACUUCUGAAGGUAUAAGAAAUGAGUACGCUAGAUGUUGCGAGAACGGAACUUGCUCUACGUGUUUUGUAUUUGAACAAAGCUGAAGCCCGGGACAAGAUAUGCAGGGCAAUACAAUACGGUUCAAAUUUUGUAAGUAAUGGCAAGCCAGGAACUGCCCAAAAUGUUGACAAGUCAACUAGCUUGGCUACGAAAGUUUUCCGUCUUUUUAAGUUUGUCAAUGAUUUGCAUGCUCUUAUCAGUCCAACUGCUCCAGGAACUCUGCUUCCACUUGUUUUACUGGGGAAG
Helianthus annuus (common sunflower) is the source of this 351-nucleotide long non-coding RNA. RefSeq lists it as uncharacterized. The record is from RefSeq and is a predicted model, not a curated record. NCBI's taxonomy places the organism in Eukaryota, Viridiplantae, Streptophyta, Magnoliopsida, Asterales, Asteraceae. The transcript is spliced from 3 exons.